This 330-nucleotide unclassified non-coding RNA is filed under the name soil metagenome. Its description in RNAcentral is "partial contains 5.8S ribosomal RNA, internal transcribed spacer 2, and large subunit ribosomal RNA". The stretch from base 1 to 120 matches the Rfam family "5.8S ribosomal RNA", at positions 35 to 154 of the family's 154-position model. The record is from RNAcentral.
GAUGAAGAACGCAGUGAAAUGCGAUAAGUAAUGUGAAUUGCAGAAUUCAGUGAAUCUUCGAAUCUUUGAACGCACAUUGCGCCCUCUGGUAUUCCGGGGGGCAUGCCUGUUCGAGCGUCAUUACAACCCUCAAGCUUUGCUUGGUAUUGGACAUUGCCAGUUUCUGGCAGGUCUUAAAAUCAGUGGCGGUGCCAUUUGGCUUCAAGCGUAGUAAUUCUUCUCGCUUUGGAGAUCCAGGUGGUUACUUGCCAAUAACCCCCAAUUUUUUCAGGUUGACCUCGGAUCAGGUAGGGAUACCCGCUGAACUUAAGCAUAUCAAUAAGCGGAGGA